Molecule: ribosomal RNA, 488 nt
Filed under: uncultured bacterium
Lineage: Bacteria
Description: partial 16S ribosomal RNA
Rfam family: Bacterial small subunit ribosomal RNA
Source: RNAcentral
GAUGAACGCUAGCGGCAGGCCUAAUACAUGCAAGUCGGACGGGAUCCAUUGAUAGCUUGCUAUCAAUGGUGAGAGUGGCGCACGGGUGCGUAACGCGUGAGCAACCUGCCUCCAUCAGGGGGAUAGCCUCUCGAAAGAGAGAUUAACACCGCAUAAUAUCAACAGUUCGCAUGUUCAGUUGAUUAAAAAUUUAUAGGAUGGAGAUGGGCUCGCGUGACAUUAGCUAGUUGGUAGGGUAACGGCUUACCAAGGCGACGAUGUCUAGGGGCUCUGAGAGGAGAAUCCCCCACACUGGUACUGAGACACGGACCAGACUCCUACGGGAGGCAGCAGUAAGGAAUAUUGGUCAAUGGGCGGAAGCCUGAACCAGCCAUGCCGCGUGCAGGAUGACUGCCCUAUGGGUUGUAAACUGCUUUUGUCCAGGAAUAAACCUAAAUACGAGUAUUUAGCUGAAUGUACUGGAAGAAUAAGGAUCGGCUAACUCCGUG